RNAcentral lists this transfer-messenger RNA (350 nucleotides) under Rhodobacterales bacterium. It matches the Rfam family "Alphaproteobacteria transfer-messenger RNA". Rfam says of the family: Bacterial tmRNA, also known as 10Sa RNA or SsrA, is named for its dual tRNA and mRNA-like properties. Its role is to liberate the mRNA from a stalled ribosome. The record is from RNAcentral. Lineage: Bacteria; Pseudomonadati; Pseudomonadota; Alphaproteobacteria; Rhodobacterales.
CCCCUUCCCCCCGGCCUUUCGGGCCCCUAUAUUGGCAGAGCCUCCCUGGAGGCUAUGGGCAUAAACGCGCUCGGAAUAAACGGAUCGGACCCGGGGGCGGUACCCGGCGGCUCCACCAGAUACCCUUCGUUGGGGGGACAGGGGGCCGAAACAGGAUCGACGAACGUGUAAAGGGGUUGCUUUGUCCCGGUGAGGUACCACCGUUAUCGGUCCGCAAAGCAUAAUUGCCAACGACAAUCGUGCUCCGGUCGCCCUCGCCGCCUAAGCGGUGCGGAAGAUCGAAACUCAAGCCCUCUCGCCUAGCCGCGUGAGGCGGGGUUCGCAGGCACCUGGCAACAGAAGCCUGCACU